This 444-nucleotide ribosomal RNA is filed under the name Tomopterna cryptotis. Its description in RNAcentral is "partial 16S ribosomal RNA". It matches the Rfam family "Bacterial large subunit ribosomal RNA", at positions 1846 to 2505 of the family's 2925-position model. Lineage: Eukaryota; Metazoa; Chordata; Amphibia; Anura; Pyxicephalidae. The record is from RNAcentral.
UAAGAGGUCCAGCCUGCCCGGUGACAAAGUUUAACGGCCGCGGUACCCUAACCGUGCGAAGGUAGCAUAAUCACUUGUUCUUUAAAUAGGGACUAGUAUCAACGGCAUCACGAGGGUUACACUGUCUCCUUUCCCCAAUCAGUGAAACUGAUCUCCCCGUGAAGAAGCGGGGAUAUAACUAUAAGACGAGAAGACCCCAUGGAGCUUUAAGCUCAACAGCACCUCUAUAAAAAUACACCCCCGUAACCCAAGAGUCCUGUUUGUUAGCUUUAGGUUGGGGUGACCGCGGGGUAUAAUAUAACCCCCACGACGAAUAGGCCUAAAACCUUUAUCCAAGAGCCACUGCUCUAAGAAUCAUAAAAUUGACGUAAAAUGAUCCGAUUUUCGAUCAACGAACCAAGUUACCCUGGGGAUAACAGCGCAAUCCAUUUCAAGAGCCCCUAU